AGAGUUUGAUCCUGGCUCAGAACGAACGCUGGUAGCGUGGAUUAGGCAUGCAAGUCGAACGGGAUCCGGGAGGUAGCAAUAUCGACCGGUGAGAGUGGCGGAUUGGGGAGGAACACGUGAGCAACCUGCCCUUGAGUUGGGGAAAACCGUUGGAAACGACGGCUAAUACCGGAUGUGGCGCCCGGUGACAUCGCCGGAGCGCUAAAGGGGGCCGCAAGGCUCCCGCUCGUGGAGGGGCUCGCGCAUCAUCAGCUUGUUGGCGGGGUAACGGCCCACCAAGGCUUACGAUUAGCUGGUCUGAGAGGAUGACCAGCCCCACUGGGACUGAGAUACUGCCCAGACUCCUACGGGAGGCUGCAGUCGAGGAUCAUUUGCAAUGGGCGAAAGCCUGACAAUGCGACGCUGCGUGGAGGAUGAAGGCCUUCGGGUUGUAAACUCCUGUCAUAGGGGAACAGGCGAUCCGACCCAACACGUCGGUGAGUUGAGUGUACCCUAAGAGGAAUUGGCGGCUAACUCUGUGCCAGCAGCCGCGGUAAUACAGAGGCCAAGAGCGUUGUUCGGAUUUACUGGGCGUAAAGGGCGCGUAGGCGGCGAAGUGUGUCGGAUGUGAAAUCUCCGGGCCCAACCCGGAAAGUGCGUCCGAAACUGCUUUGCUCGAGUGCGGGAGGGGGAAUCGGAAUAUAGGGUGUAGCGGUGAAAUGCGUUGAUAUCCUAUAGAACACCGGAGGCGAAGGCGGAUUUCCUUGAACGCAAACUGACGCUGAGGCGCGAAAGUCGGGGGAGCACACAGAAGGAGAUACCCUGGUAGUCCCGACCUUAAA
This 821-nucleotide ribosomal RNA is filed under the name uncultured bacterium. RNAcentral's name for it is "bacterial SSU rRNA". It matches the Rfam family "Bacterial small subunit ribosomal RNA", at positions 8 to 806 of the family's 1533-position model. The record is from RNAcentral.